Molecule: ribosomal RNA, 1383 nt
Filed under: uncultured bacterium
Lineage: Bacteria
Description: bacterial SSU rRNA
Rfam family: Bacterial small subunit ribosomal RNA
Source: RNAcentral
GAGAACGGGACCAGCUUGCUGGUCUGUCAGCUAAGUGGCGCACGGGUGAGUAACGCGUGGGUGAUCUACCCUUGAGUUUGAGAUAACCCCGGGAAACUGGGGCUAAUACCGAAUAAUGCCUUUUCAUUGGUUUGGAGAGGUUAAAGAUUUAUCGCUUGAGGAUGAGCCUGCGACCUAUCAGUUUGUUGGUGGGGUAAUGGCCUACCAAGACUAAGACGGGUAGCUGAUCUGAGAGGAUGGUCAGCCACACUGGGACUGAGACACGGCCCAGACUCCUACGGGAGGCAGCAGUAGGGAAUAUUGCGCAAUGGAGGAAACUCUGACGCAGCGACGCCGCGUGAGUGAUGACGGCCUUUUUGGCUGUAAAGCUCUGUAAGGAGGGAAGAAAUGCCGGCUAGACCGGAGCUGACGGUACCUCCAAAGUAAGGACCGGCUAAAUACGUGCCAGCAGCCGCGGUAAUACGUAUGGUCCGAGCGUUGUCCGGAAUGACUGGGCGUAAAGGGUGUGUAGGUGGAUAUAUAUGUCAGGUGUGAAAUCCCUCGGCUCAACCGAGGAACUGCGCUUGAAACUGUAUAUCUUGAGCGUGUCAGGGGCAGGCGGAAUUCCCGGAGUAGCGGUGAAAUGCGUAGAGAUCGGGAAGAACACCGGUGGCGAAGGCGGCCUGCUGGGACAUUGCUGACACUGAGGCACGAAAGCGUGGGGAGCGAACGGGAUUAGAUACCCCGGUAGUCCACGCCGUAAACGAUGGGUACUAGAUGUUGGGUAUAUUGAAAUACUCGGUGUCGUAGUUAACGCGCUAAGUACCCCGCCUGGGGAGUACGGUCGCAAGAUUAAAACUCAAAGGAAUUGACGGGGGCCCGCACAAGCGGUGGAGCAUGUGGUUUAAUUCGAUGCAACGCGAAGAACCUUACCCGGAUUUGACAUCCUCUGGACGGAGACUAGAGAUAGUUUCUUUCUCUUCGGAGACUGGAGUGACAGGUGCUGCAUGGCUGUCGUCAGCUCGUGUUGUGAGAUGUUGGGUUAAGUCCCGCAACGAGCGCAACCCUUGUGUUUAGUUGCCAUCAUUAAGUUGGGCACUCUAGGGAGACUGCCGGUGUUAAACCGGAGGAAGGUGGGGAUGACGUCAAGUCCUCAUGGCCCUUAUGCCUAGGGCUACACACGUGCUACAAUGGCCGGUACAAAGGGCAGCAAUACCGCAAGGUGGAGCGAAUCCCAAAAAGCCGGUCUCAGUUCGGAUUGGAGUCUGCAACUCGACUCCAUGAAGUUGGAAUCGCUAGUAAUCGCGUAUCAGCAUGACGCGGUGAAUACGUUCCCGGGCCUUGUACACACCGCCCGUCACACCACGGGAGUCGAUUGUACCGGAAGUAGUUGAGCGAACUCCU